GACGAACGCUGGCGGCGUGCUUAACACAUGCAAGUCGAACGGAAAGGCCCUGCUUUUGUGGGGUGCUCGAGUGGCGAACGGGUGAGUAACACGUGAGUAACCUGCCCUUGACUUUGGGAUAACUUCAGGAAACUGGGGCUAAUACCGGAUAGGAGCUCCUGCUGCAUGGUGGGGGUUGGAAAGUUUCGGCGGUUGGGGAUGGACUCGCGGCUUAUCGGCUUGUUGGUGGGGUAGUGGCUUACCAAGGCUUUGACGGGUAGCCGGCCUGAGAGGGUGACCGGCGACAUUGGGACUGAGAUACGGCCCAGACUCCUACGGGAGGCAGCAGUGGGGAAUAUUGCACAAUGGGCGGAAGCCUGAUGCAGCAACGCCGCGUGCGGGAUGACGGCCUUCGGGGUGUAAACCGCUUUCGCCUGUGACGAAGCGUGAGUGACGGUAAUGGGUAAAGAAGCACCGGCUAACUACGUG
RNAcentral lists this ribosomal RNA (468 nucleotides) under uncultured bacterium. RNAcentral describes it as "partial 16S ribosomal RNA". It matches the Rfam family "Bacterial small subunit ribosomal RNA", at positions 28 to 507 of the family's 1533-position model. The record is from RNAcentral.